RNAcentral lists this transfer RNA (70 nucleotides) under Dipodomys ordii (Ord's kangaroo rat). It matches the Rfam family "tRNA". Rfam says of the family: Transfer RNA (tRNA) molecules are approximately 80 nucleotides in length. Their secondary structure includes four short double-helical elements and three loops (D, anti-codon, and T loops). Further hydrogen bonds mediate the characteristic L-shaped molecular structure. tRNAs have two regions of fundamental functional importance: the anti-codon, which is responsible for specific mRNA codon recognition, and the 3' end, to which the tRNAs corresponding amino acid is attached (by aminoacyl-tRNA synthetases). tRNAs cope with the degeneracy of the genetic code in two manners: having more than one tRNA (with a specific anti-codon) for a particular amino acid; and 'wobble' base-pairing, i.e. permitting non-standard base-pairing at the 3rd anti-codon position. The record is from Rfam by way of RNAcentral. Lineage: Eukaryota; Metazoa; Chordata; Mammalia; Rodentia; Heteromyidae.
GGUGGCUCAGUGGUAGAGUGCUUGCCUUGCAUGCAUGAGUUCAAUUCCUGGGUUCGAUUCCUCAGCACCA